CACCAGCUGAUGUCAGUUGCAUUGUUUUUUUAACCAGGGCAGAAGUUUUCAGAUUACUUUAUGUGCUUACAUAAUUGUAAAAGGGUUCUCUAAUGUUUUUAUAGUUAGCCUUUUAAAAGGAU
Long non-coding RNA from Etheostoma spectabile (orangethroat darter), 122 nucleotides. RefSeq lists it as uncharacterized. The transcript has 3 exons. NCBI's taxonomy places the organism in Eukaryota, Metazoa, Chordata, Actinopteri, Perciformes, Percidae. The record is from RefSeq and is a predicted model, not a curated record.